Molecule: ribosomal RNA, 468 nt
Filed under: uncultured bacterium
Lineage: Bacteria
Description: partial 16S ribosomal RNA
Rfam family: Bacterial small subunit ribosomal RNA
Source: RNAcentral
GACGAACGCUGGCGGCGUGCUUAACACAUGCAAGUCGAACGGAAAGACCCUGCUUUUGUGGGGUGCUCGAGUGGCGAACGGGUGAGUAACACGUGAGUAACCUGUCCUUGACUUUGGGAUAACUUCAGGAAACUGGGGCUCAUAUCGGAUAGAAUCUCUUGCUGCAUGGUGGGGGUUGGAAAGUUUCGGCGGUUGUGGAUGGUCUGGCGGGUUAUCAGCUUGAUGGUCGGGUAGUGGCUUACCAAGGGUUUGACGGGUAGCCGGCAUGAGAGGGGGAACGGGCACAAGGGGACUGCGAUAGGCACCAGACGGGUACGGGAGGCAGCAGGCGGAAGUAUUGCAGAACGGGCGGGCGCGUGUUGUAGAAGCGCCGGGUGCGUGAUGCCGGCCUACGGGUGGUAAACAGCUGUCGACUGUGACGAAGCGUGAGUGACGGUAAUGGGUAAAGAAGCACCGGCUAACUACGUG